CUUAUAAGCAUUCUUUUUUUAGAGGGCAAAUUAUAAGUCAAAUUCCAUCAAGGAUUUUAAAUUGUCAAAAAAUUGUUUGGUCUUAAUAAAUGUUAGCUGUUUUUUAGCUGGGUUAGCCCAUGCCAUCAGGAGGUUUGAUAAUGUAGCAGUUCAAAGAGAUACUUUUACCUAAUGAAGUAUUUGCUCAAGAUAUUUUCUGCCAGCUAAUUUCUCCUUCCUCCCUGAAAAAAGUUUUUCUCUUGUCUUGAUUUUAAUUUUCAGAGCUAGCAAUCAGUACUACUGUAUUUUCAGGCCUGUCUAAUGGUAUUUAUGCACUUUUGUUUUCUAGGCCUGACCUUUGUCCUUUUUUUUUCCUGACUUUCCAAUCCCUCUUCCACCCAAUCUUUAAAAUUAGUUCUGAUCUCAUCAUUUCAGUGGAGCUCUCCCUGAAAUUCCAGUUUGAAGGGAUUUUUCCAGUCUCCGAUUCUCAUACUAAUUUUUAAUCCGAGUUUUGUUUAUGUAUGUAUACAGAGUAACUAGUUUAUGCUAGAGUAUUUUUUACUCUGCCGUUCGUUGGAUUUCCUUAUUUUAAAAAUGAUGGUACUGUUUGCAUCAUAGCAGGAUGUUGAAAUAAAUGAAGUAGUAAAUUGCAGUAACUUUAAAAAACUUUACUGAAUUUUACAAAAUUUCUACAAAUAAGUAUUAUUUUAUAUACUUAAAAAUAAGAAUGAGAAUAUGCGAAAAUGCUUUUGAAGAAAGGUACUAUCUAAUAUAGGUAUUGAGAUAAAAGUUGUUUGCUCUUUGAGGUACAUGCCUUAAUUUUAUUAAUAUAUGCUAUCAACUUAUUGAUUCAGUACUUUCAAAUUGUGAUAGAAAAUCUUAGCUGUCCCUAACUAGGAUUCUAGCCAACUAAAAAAUUCUAACUUUGCCUCCUAACUCUAGCAGUUCUUUGUUCGUUCUCUUUGACUUUGGCUUUGAGGAUUCCUCUAGAUAAUUAUGUUCUCUAGAUAAAAAUGUUCUUAGACUGUCCCAUGAAAUCCCUCUUCAGUGUCUCAGGGGUUGCUGUAGGAGGGCUUAGAAGGGAAAAUGGAUCAGGCAAGCCUAACAGUCUAGGCUUGAGUUUUCCUCGUCUUCUUUUAAUUAGACUGACUCAUUUUCCUAUGUGUUUUAAAUAUUAAGAUACUAUGUAAAAUAUCAUGAGGAAAGGAAAAUAAAGCGUUCUGCUAUUAAAAAGAACUGAAAGCCAAUGAAAAUGUCAUUUGUAGAUGCUUCUGCUUGCACUUAGAGUCUGCAGAUGGUAUACUGGGAAGAAGUAGGAACGUUCGGAAAAUACCUCGGCUCUUGACUGGGUUUGGUAUUCUUUUCUCUGCCUUCACUGUAGCUCUUCUAUCCUGGUAUUCAAGGUUCCAACCAUGGUUGCUUUAAUCUGCCUUUCUCUCCUCCUUUAACAUAUGUUUAUUUAGCAAUUAACUGGGGGGAGGGAGGGAGUGGGUAGAAAAAAGUAUUUUCCAACAUUUUAAAAUGAAAGAAAUAAUUGUUUAUGGUUUGAAAAGUCACCAAGACUAUUAUUGAGUGAUUAUUUGUGACAUGUUUACCUAGAGAAAUUAUUUGGGGAAAAGAAAGCUUUAUAUUUCUUUCUUGGUGGGAAGCAAGCAGCUGGAAUAAUUUGUUAUAAAAGACCUGGGGACGAGGUAUGAAAACAUGAAAGAACUAGCGGAUAGCUUAU
RNAcentral lists this long non-coding RNA (1705 nucleotides) under Homo sapiens (human). Its description in RNAcentral is "HSALNT0059359". Lineage: Eukaryota; Metazoa; Chordata; Mammalia; Primates; Hominidae. The record is from RNAcentral.